This 253-nucleotide ribosomal RNA is filed under the name uncultured bacterium. RNAcentral describes it as "partial 16S ribosomal RNA". It matches the Rfam family "Bacterial small subunit ribosomal RNA", at positions 524 to 776 of the family's 1533-position model. The record is from RNAcentral.
UACGAAGGGGGCUAGCGUUGCUCGGAAUUACUGGGCGUAAAGGGCGCGUAGGCGGCACUGUUAGUCAGGCGUGAAAGUCCUGGGCUCAACCUGGGAACUGCGCUUGAUACGGCAGAGCUAGAGGAUGGAAGAGGCUCGCGGAAUUCCCAGUGUAGAGGUGAAAUUCGUAGAUAUCGAGAGGAACAUCGGUGGCGAAGGCGGCCUUCUGGACGGUGACUGACGCUGAGACGCGAAAGCGUGGGGAGCAAACAGG